UUGGAGGGCAAGUCUGGUGCCAGCAGCCGCGGUAAUUCCAGCUCCAAUAGCGUAUAUUAAAGUUGUUGCAGUUAAAAAGCUCGUAGUUGAAUUUCGGGAUCAAUAUGUCGGUCGUGCCUUCGGUACGUACUGGUAUCAUUGGUCUCUCCUUUCUGACGAACCAUGAUGUCAUUAAUUUGGUGUUAUGGGGAGUUAGGACUGUUACUUUGAAAAAAUUAGAGUGUUUAAAGCAGGCUUUAGCUUGAAUACAUUAGCAUGGAAUAAUGAAAUAGGACGUUCGAACCUAUUUUGUUGGUUUCUAGGAUCAACGUAAUGAUUAAUAGGGAUAGUUGGGGGCAUUAGUAUUCAAUUGUCAGAGGUGAAAUUCUUGGAUUUAUUGAAGACUAACUACUGCGAAAGCAUUUGCCAAGGAUGUUUUCAUUAAUCAAGAACGAAAGUUAGGGGAUCGAAGACGAUCAGAUACCGUCGUAGUCUUAGCCAUAAACUAUGCCGACUAGGAAUCAGACGAUGUUAAUUUUUUAAUGACUCAUUCGGCGCCUUACGGGAAACCAAAGUGUUUGGGUUC
RNAcentral lists this ribosomal RNA (565 nucleotides) under uncultured Glomeromycotina. Its description in RNAcentral is "SSU rRNA". It matches the Rfam family "Eukaryotic small subunit ribosomal RNA", at positions 548 to 1114 of the family's 1831-position model. The record is from RNAcentral. Lineage: Eukaryota; Fungi; Glomeromycota.